CUUGGGGCUGUUCCAUUGAAGGUGUGACAUUUACAUGUGAACCGUAGUUUGCAGUAAUUCCGCUUGUGCUCGAGCAACUCGCCUAGGUCUGUAAACAUCUCUCUACAGUUGCCACAGAUCAGGAUAUCCGGAUUGCCUGUAACUGUAGACUUUCAAUUGGUUCAAAUCCGGAACGGUGGUCGUGUUCGCAGCUGGUUGCUGUUUCUGUUGUUUGGGAUGUUGCGAUCGAGCCGGUGGCAUCAGACGUGGUCUUUUCAAUGGUGGUGCCAAACGGGGUGGAAAAGCAGUCGACGCAUAGUAACUGAAAAUAAACUUGGAUACUGAGUGUCACAAGAUAUCCCGUUGCUGGGAACGAUGAAUAAUUGUUUCGAAGGCAACGCCAUUGCGUGAAU
This 392-nucleotide unclassified non-coding RNA is filed under the name Bombus terrestris (buff-tailed bumblebee). Its description in RNAcentral is "misc RNA ENSBTSG00005027021.1". Lineage: Eukaryota; Metazoa; Arthropoda; Insecta; Hymenoptera; Apidae. The record is from RNAcentral.